GGGCUAGCGUUGCUCGGAAUCACUGGGCGUAAAGCGCACGUAGGCGGAUUGUUAAGUCAGGGGUGAAAUCCUGGAGCUCAACUCCAGAACUGCCUUUGAUACUGGCGAUCUCGAGUCCGGGAGAGGUGAGUGGAACUGCGAGUGUAGAGGUGAAAUUCGUAGAUAUUCGCAAGAACACCAGUGGCGAAGGCGGCUCACUGGCCCGGUACUGACGCUGAGGUGCGAAAGCGUGGGGAGCAAACAGG
RNAcentral lists this ribosomal RNA (245 nucleotides) under uncultured bacterium. Its description in RNAcentral is "partial 16S ribosomal RNA". It matches the Rfam family "Bacterial small subunit ribosomal RNA", at positions 532 to 776 of the family's 1533-position model. The record is from RNAcentral.